RNAcentral lists this unclassified non-coding RNA (189 nucleotides) under Funneliformis sp. RNAcentral describes it as "partial internal transcribed spacer region". The stretch from base 1 to 46 matches the Rfam family "Eukaryotic small subunit ribosomal RNA", at positions 1786 to 1831 of the family's 1831-position model. The record is from RNAcentral. Lineage: Eukaryota; Fungi; Glomeromycota; Glomeromycetes; Glomerales; Glomeraceae. RNAcentral also lists the same sequence under 1 other name.
AAGUCGUAACAAGGUUUCCGUAGGUGAACCUGCGGAAGGAUCAUUAAUGAUUUUUAAAGCGAGUCGAGCGUUUAAGCGAGGCUUGCGAAAAAUAUUUAAAACCCCACUCUUUUUAACUUUUAAAAAAAUAAAUCAUGAUACAUGAAUUUAAAAAAAAGAUCACUUUCAACAACGGAUCUCUUGGCUCUC